RNAcentral lists this long non-coding RNA (331 nucleotides) under Coffea arabica (coffee). Its description in RNAcentral is "long non-coding RNA (CARA_LNC005913)". Lineage: Eukaryota; Viridiplantae; Streptophyta; Magnoliopsida; Gentianales; Rubiaceae. The record is from RNAcentral.
UAUCAUUACACUUUCAUUUUUCCUCCCAUUUUUGCACACGUGCACCUUUAUGUUUCUUCACUUGCACACUAACACUUUUUAUCAUCACUUGCACACAUGCACUUCAUAUUACCAUUGCACAUACCAUACCUUGCCCACUCACAUGCACAUUUUCACUUAUGCAUCUUUGUUUUUUUAUUACUUUUUCAAAUUUAUGCCUUCACAUUGCAUACAUGCAUUCCCUUCAUUUGCAUCCCACUUGCAUUAUUCGUGACUUCUUCGAAGGAUCGUUAUUGGGCUUCACAAUUAAUGUGAUUGGCACCACUCAACCUUUGAAGAGAAAUUUCCCCCA